RNAcentral lists this ribosomal RNA (448 nucleotides) under uncultured bacterium. RNAcentral describes it as "SSU rRNA". It matches the Rfam family "Bacterial small subunit ribosomal RNA", at positions 26 to 518 of the family's 1533-position model. The record is from RNAcentral.
AGAGCGAACGCUGGCGGCAGGCCUAACACAUGCAAGUCGAGCGCCCGUAGCAAUACGGGAGCGGCAGACGGGAUAGUAACACGUGGGAACGCGCCCCUCGGUUCGGAAUAACUCAGGGAAACUUGAGCUAAUACCGAAUACGCCCCUACGGGGAAAGAUUUAUUGCCGAAGGAACGGCCCGCGUCCGAUUAGCUAGUUGGUGAGGUAAUGGCUCACCAAGGCUACGAUCGGUAGCUGGUCUGAGAGGAUGACCAGCAUCACUGGGACUGAGACACGGCCCAGACUCCUACGGGAGGCAGCAGUGGGGAAUAUUGGACAAUGGGCGCAAGCCUGAUCCAGCCAUGCCGCGUGGAUGAUGAAGGCCCUAGGGUUGUAAAGUCCUUUUAACGGGGAAGAUAAUGACGGUACCCGUAGAAUAAGCCCCGGCUAACUUCGUGCCAGCAGCCGC